This 253-nucleotide ribosomal RNA is filed under the name uncultured bacterium. RNAcentral describes it as "partial 16S ribosomal RNA". It matches the Rfam family "Bacterial small subunit ribosomal RNA", at positions 524 to 776 of the family's 1533-position model. The record is from RNAcentral.
UACGGAGGGUGCAAGCGUUAUCCGGAAUUACUGGGUUUAAAGGGUGCGUAGGCGGCUUGAUAAGUCAGGGAUGAAAGCCUAUCGCUUAACGAUAGAAUUGCCUUUGAUACUGUAAAGCUUGAAAGGGGUUGAGGUCAGCAGAAUGUGGCAUGUAGCGGUGAAAUGCAUAGGUAUGCCAUAGAACAACGAUUGCGAAGGCAGCUGGCUGGGCCUACUUUGACGCUGAGGCACGAAAGCGUGGGGAGCGUACAGG